CGACAUUUAAAUUUUAAUAAGAUAUGAUGCAGGUCGAAGUUUGUAUUCUUCGUUAAAACAUACAAAUUUAAAAUAAAUGCUAAUAAUAUAAUUUCUUUUAAGUUUCAAGCAGUUAAUAAUACAAUAACUUUCGAUAAUAAACUAAAUUUUGCUAUUUAGUCUCGCAACUUAUUUUAUUUAAUAUAUUUUAUUCACUAUAACUAGACGUUAGUUUAUUUUAUAGUUUAGAAUUAUUUAAAUUCUUACUAUUUGUUCAAUUUUUUGAACUAAACCUGUGAAGGAGUGUCUUAAAAAGAUUUAAAUGGACGCGG
RNAcentral lists this small RNA (311 nucleotides) under Ditylum brightwellii. RNAcentral describes it as "partial transfer-messenger RNA". The record is from RNAcentral. Lineage: Eukaryota; Bacillariophyta; Thalassiosirophyceae; Lithodesmiales; Lithodesmiaceae.